This 74-nucleotide transfer RNA is filed under the name Enterobacteriaceae bacterium. Its description in RNAcentral is "tRNA-Val". It matches the Rfam family "tRNA". From Rfam's summary of the family: Transfer RNA (tRNA) molecules are approximately 80 nucleotides in length. Their secondary structure includes four short double-helical elements and three loops (D, anti-codon, and T loops). Lineage: Bacteria; Pseudomonadati; Pseudomonadota; Gammaproteobacteria; Enterobacterales; Enterobacteriaceae. The record is from RNAcentral.
GCGUCUGUAACUCAGUUGGUUAGAGUAUCAUUUUGACACAAUGAAAGUCGAUGGUUCAAUUCCAUCCAGACGCA